UUGUCCUACGGGAGGCAGCAGCUAAGAAUAUUGGGCAAUGGAGGAAACUCUGACCCAGCCAUGCCGCGUGAAUGAAGAAGGCCUUCGGGUUGUAAAGUUCUUUUAAUCGUGAAGAUGAUGACAGUAGCGGUAGAAAAAGCACCGGCUAACUUCGUGCCAGCAGCCGCGGUAAUACGAAGGGUGCAAGCGUUGUUCGGAUUUACUGGGCGUAAAGCGUCCGUAGGUGGUUUGUUAAGUCAGGGGUGAAAUCCCGGGGCCCAACCCCGGAACUGCCUUUGAUACUGGCGAACUGGAGCGUGAUAGAG
This 305-nucleotide ribosomal RNA is filed under the name uncultured bacterium. RNAcentral's name for it is "bacterial SSU rRNA". It matches the Rfam family "Bacterial small subunit ribosomal RNA", at positions 334 to 656 of the family's 1533-position model. The record is from RNAcentral.